GACGAACGCUGGCGGCGUGCUUAACACAUGCAGGUCGAGCGGUAAGGCCCUUUCGGGGGUACACGAGCGGCGAACGGGUGAGUAACACGUGGGUGACCUGCCCUCAGCUCUGGGGUAAGCCUGGGAAACCGGGUCUAAUACCGGAUAUGACUCCAUGACGCAUGUUGUGGGGUGGAAAGCCUUGUGCGGCUGAGGAUGGGCCCGCGGCCUAUCAGCUUGUUGGUGGGGUGAUGGCCACCAAGGCGACGACGGGUAGCCGGCCUGAGAGGGCGACCGGCCACACUGGGACUGAGACACGGCCCAGACUCCUACGGGAGGCAGCAGUGGGGAAUCUUGCGCAAUGGGCGAAAGCCUGACGCAGCGACGCCGCGUGAGGGAUGAC
This 382-nucleotide ribosomal RNA is filed under the name uncultured bacterium. RNAcentral describes it as "bacterial SSU rRNA". It matches the Rfam family "Bacterial small subunit ribosomal RNA", at positions 28 to 412 of the family's 1533-position model. The record is from RNAcentral.